CAUCAAUCAAAUCAGAAGGUUGGACUCUGGUUUUCGGGGGCUGCUGUUGUUUUCCCAUGAAACCCUCACAGCCACACCCGGAAUGUCUUGAUGAGGACGACAAGAGCAGUCAUCCACAAAGACCCAGGCACUCAGGGGGUGCUCAACAGCUCUUCAGUGGGAAUGUGACAUCAUCAAACAUGAAGAGCAUCUCAAAAAACAUGACAUGAAGGAACGUCAAAGUGAGCAGAGUGAACUGGAAAAUGGAGACUAAGGAGUGGGGAUAAACAAAGGACUAAGAGGUGACUCUAACAUCUCCAGGACUGAGGACCACUGAGAAGCAAAGCAGGCAGGAAACACUAACAAGCUGCAAUCAACUAAUAUGACAUCUGAUUAGGCCAGAAGUGAUAGGAGAGGACUCUGGGGUGCCAGUGAGAUGAACCAAAGGAAAGGCUAAAGAAGGCCACCUUUUCAUGGACUGACAGGAAAGAGGUCUCACACUAUAGUUCAGGCUGGCCUCAAGGCCCCAGCACCUGGACUGCUGAGAUUAAUGAGCCUCCAGCCUUAAUGAUGAUGAUGAUGAUGAUGAUGAUGAUGAUGAUGAUGAUGAUGAUAAUGAGCUGAGUUCAAUCCCCAGAACCUACAUCUUCAAAGGAAAAAAGCCAGCCGUGGUGUUCACUUACAAUCUCAGCACAGAGGAGGAUCUAGAAUCAGCUAGAAGAUGAACAUGUGUGCAAAGGAAAUUCUAAAUAGUUCAUAGAGAUGAGAAGAUCCAUCCUCGAUGUGGGCAGCAUCAAUCUACAGGCUGAGAUCUUAGACCGCACAGAAAGG
Molecule: non-coding RNA, 810 nt
Organism: Peromyscus maniculatus bairdii (prairie deer mouse)
Lineage: Eukaryota; Metazoa; Chordata; Mammalia; Rodentia; Cricetidae
Source: RefSeq, a predicted model, not a curated record